GACGAACGCUGGCGGCGUGCUUAACACAUGCAAGUCGAACGGAAAGGCCCUGCUUUUGUGGGGUUCUUGAUUGGCGAACGGGUGAGUAACACGUGAGUAACCUGCCCUUGACAUUGGGAUAACUUCAGGAAACUGGGGCUAAUACCGGAUAGGAGCUUCUGCUGCAUGGGGGGGGUUGGAAAGUUUCGGCGGUUGGGGAUGGAAUCGCGGCUUAUGAGCUUGUUGGGCGGGUAGUGGCGUACCAAGCGUUUGACGGGUAGGCGGCCUGGGAGCGGUACCGGGCACAAUGGGACUGAGGGACGGCGCAGAAUGCUACGGGCGGCAGCAGUGGAGAGUCUUGCACAGUGAGCGGACGCCUGAUGCAGCAGCGCCGCGUGCGGGAUGACGGGCUUCUGGUUGUGAACAGCUUUCGAAUGAGACGAAGAGUGAGUGACGGUAAUGGGUAAGGAAGCACCGGCUAACUACGUG
This 468-nucleotide ribosomal RNA is filed under the name uncultured bacterium. Its description in RNAcentral is "partial 16S ribosomal RNA". It matches the Rfam family "Bacterial small subunit ribosomal RNA", at positions 28 to 507 of the family's 1533-position model. The record is from RNAcentral.